This 449-nucleotide ribosomal RNA is filed under the name uncultured bacterium. RNAcentral describes it as "partial 16S ribosomal RNA". It matches the Rfam family "Bacterial small subunit ribosomal RNA", at positions 29 to 523 of the family's 1533-position model. The record is from RNAcentral.
AACGAACGCUGGCGGCAUGGCUAACACAUGCAAGUCGAACGAGAUCUUCGGGUCUAGUGGCGCACGGGUGCGUAACGCGUGGGAAUCUGCCCUUUGGUUCGGAAUAACAGUUGGAAACGACUGCUAAUACCGGAUGAUGACGAAAGUCCAAAGAUUUAUCGCCAGAGGAUGAGCCCGCGUAGGAUUAGCUAGUUGGUGUGGUAAAGGCGCACCAAGGCGACGAUCCUUAGCUGGUCUGAGAGGAUGAUCAGCCACACUGGGACUGAGACACGGCCCAGACUCCUACGGGAGGCAGCAGUGGGGAAUAUUGGACAAUGGGCGAAAGCCUGAUCCAGCAAUGCCGCGUGAGUGAUGAAGGCCUUAGGGUUGUAAAGCUCUUUUACCCGGGAUGAUGAUGACAGUACCGGGAGAAUAAGCUCCGGCUAACUCCGUGCCAGCCGCCGCUGUAA